CACCCCACAUACGCAGACACAUCUUACAAGUCCUGUGAGAUAGGGGCUGCCAGCGUCUCCCAGGAUGUGGCCCACCGUGAUCUGAAGUGCCUCUGCUGUCCCCCGGCACCUGGGCACCACCACAGACUGCAAAACAUAGGCACAGCAGGGGGGCACCCCAAGUGAGGGCACCCUUGCCUGCUGUUCCCCACCUGCCAAGGACCUGCCUGCCAUUCAGAAAGCCCCCCGAGAGGCAGGGGUUGCCUGAGGUGUGCAGAAUGAGCUCCCCAUUGGAGGCAUAUGUGAACAAGGGGAUGGCUGGAAUUUGGCAAAGCAUUUAUGGACUGGGGAGCUCGCGGUGCGAGACCAGUAUUCUCAAAGCGUGCUCUACGGAAUGCUACCGCAGGAUCACCUGGGAAGUUCAUCAGAAACGCAGGUCCCUGGAUCCCAGCACGGACCCACUGAAUCAGACUCAGAGGACACAGGGCCUGGAAUCUGGGUUUGUCACAAGCUCCCUCAAAUCUGACUCUCAUGCACAAUGACGUCUUCAAGCCACCGGACCAGAGAACCCCUGAGGUCCAUUCUCCAGAGAGAACCUGGAUUCUCCCCAUUGUGGAGAUGGCAUCAAGAGAGCAGGGUCCCGGCUGGGCGCAGUGGCUCACGCCUGUAAACCCAGCACUCUGGGAGGCUAAGGGGGGCGGAUCACGAGGUAAAGAGAUCAAUAGCAUCCUGGCCAAUAUGGUGAACCCCGUCUCUACUAAAAAUACAAAAAUUAACUGAGCAUGGUGGCAAACGCCUGUAGUCCCAGCUAUUCAGGAGGCUGAGGCAGGAGAAUAGCUUGAACCCAGGAGGUAGAGGUUGC
Molecule: non-coding RNA, 841 nt
Filed under: Pongo abelii (Sumatran orangutan)
Lineage: Eukaryota; Metazoa; Chordata; Mammalia; Primates; Hominidae
Source: RNAcentral